Molecule: ribosomal RNA, 274 nt
Filed under: uncultured bacterium
Lineage: Bacteria
Description: partial 16S ribosomal RNA
Rfam family: Bacterial small subunit ribosomal RNA
Source: RNAcentral
CUACGGAGGGUGCAAGCGUUAUUCGGAAUCACUGGGCGUAAAGGACGCGUAGGCGGGUUGGCAAGUCAGAUGCGAAAUCCUACAGCUUAACUGUAGAACUGCAUUUGAAACUGCUAACCUAGAGUAUGGGAGGGGGAGAUGGAAUUAGUGGUGUAGGGGUAAAAUCCGUAGAUAUCACUAGGAAUACCGAAAGCGAAGGCGAUCUCCUGGAACAUAACUGACGCUAAGGCGUGAAAGCGUGGGGAGCAAACAGGAUUAGAAACCCUAGUAGUCC